GUGAGGUAAAGGCUCACCAAGGCAACGAUCAGUAGCUGGUCUGAGAGGACGAUCAGCCACACUGGGACUGAGACACGGCCCAGACUCCUACGGGAGGCAGCAGUGGGGAAUUUUGGACAAUGGGGGCAACCCUGAUCCAGCAAUGCCGCGUGAGUGAAGAAGGCCUUCGGGUUGUAAAGCUCUUUUGUCAGGGAAGAAACAGCAGCUCUAACACAGUUUGCGAAUGACGGUACCUGAAGAAUAAGCACCGGCUAACUACGUGCCAGCAGCCGCGGUAAUACGUAGGGUGCAAGCGUUAAUCGGAAUUACUGGGCGUAAAGCGUGCGCAGGCGGUUAUGUAAGACAGGCGUGAAAUCCCCGGGCUUAACCUGGGAAUUGCGCUUGUGACUGCAUAGCUAGAGUAUGUCAGAGGGGGGUAGAAUUCCACGUGUA
RNAcentral lists this ribosomal RNA (432 nucleotides) under uncultured bacterium. RNAcentral describes it as "bacterial SSU rRNA". It matches the Rfam family "Bacterial small subunit ribosomal RNA", at positions 252 to 677 of the family's 1533-position model. The record is from RNAcentral.